AUUGUCCCUGUCUAGCCCUGCCUUUGAAGGUGAAGUAUUUAGCUAACAUUAUCAUCUUGAUAGUACACACUUUAUACAAAAAAGUUUAUAUUUUGACUGAGGAUCUGCAAUAGGGUUAAGUAGUCCGCAGAAUAUAUCUGGAUAACUGGGGCGGGAGAAUAAAGGCACCACUCAAAGUCACAAUCUAAUUUUAACCCCUUAAGGACACGACAUGCAUGACCUGUCAUGAUUCCCUUUUAUUCCAGAAGUUUGGUCCUUAAGGGGUUAACUCACAUUGAAAGAGAGUGCCACUGAGAACUUCACAUUUACUUGAGUUACCCUUAUAUAAAAAGGAUGUUACAUAGUUACAUAGCUGAAAAGAGACUUGCGUCCAUCAAGUUCAGCCUUCCUCACAUUUGUU
Pelobates cultripes (western spadefoot toad) is the source of this 400-nucleotide non-coding RNA. The record is from the annotation of a GenBank genome assembly. Lineage: Eukaryota; Metazoa; Chordata; Amphibia; Anura; Pelobatidae.